This 899-nucleotide ribosomal RNA is filed under the name uncultured bacterium. RNAcentral describes it as "bacterial SSU rRNA". It matches the Rfam family "Bacterial small subunit ribosomal RNA", at positions 8 to 916 of the family's 1533-position model. The record is from RNAcentral.
AGAGUUUGAUCCUGGCUCAGGACGAACGCUGGCGGCGUGCUUAACACAUGCAAGUCGAACGGAGAUUCAGGGUAGCUUGCUACCCGAAGAUCUUAGUGGCGGACGGGUGAGUAACGCGUGGGCAAUCUGCCCGAGAGUGGGGGAUAACACUUAGAAAUGAGUGCUAAUACCGCAUAACAUCAGGGUUGCAUAACCUGGUGAUCAAAGGAGAAAUCCGCUUUUGGAUGAGCCCGCGUCUGAUUAGCUAGUUGGCAGGGUAACGGCCUACCAAGGCGACGAUCAGUAGCCGGCCUGAGAGGGUGACCGGCCACACUGGAACUGAGACACGGUCCAGACUCCUACGGGAGGCAGCAGUGGGGAAUCUUCCGCAAUGGGCGAAAGCCUGACGGAGCAACGCCGCGUGAGUGAUGAAGGCCUUCGGGUUGUAAAACUCUGUCUUCAGGGAAGAAAAAAAUGACGGUACCUGAGGAGGAAGCCACGGCUAACUACGUGCCAGCAGCCGCGGUAAUACGUAGGUGGCGAGCGUUGUCCGGAAUUACUGGGCGUAAAGGGCGCGUAGGCGGGAAUUUAAGUCAGGAGUGAAAACUACCGGCUCAACCGGUAGCCUGCUCUUGAAACUGGAUUUCUUGAGGGUAUGAGAGGAAAGCGGAAUUCCCAGUGUAGCGGUGAAAUGCGUAGAUAUUGGGAGGAACACCAGUGGCAAAGGCGGCUUUCUGGCAUACAACUGACGCUGAGGCGCGAAAGCGUGGGGAGCAAACGGGAUUAGAUACCCCGGUAGUCCACGCCGUAAACGAUGGGUACUAGGUGUAGGAGUAUCCCCCUUCUGUGCCGUAGUUAACACAAUAAGUACCCCGCCUGGGGAGUACGGCCGCAAGGUUGAAACUCAAAUGAAUUGACGG